GCUCAGUGAUCUGACAAAGUAGUUCUAUUGAAGUCUGCCUUUAAUAAGCAAAGCAGCUGUUCACCAAUGUGGUGUCUGGACUAAGAAGAAAAGACAGGAAAUAGCAACAACAGAGGAAAAAGAGGAAAUACUUUUGGCAGGUCUUCUGACGGUCACAUCAAGGGUCUCCCCACCCACCCUAAUGGAAACCCGCAGGGCACUUUGUCACCUGAGAGUUCCCCAUGCUGUUGACACGGCACACUACAGCAACAUAAUCAAACCAGAGAAGAGAUGCAGUCCAAGU
RNAcentral lists this long non-coding RNA (283 nucleotides) under Gouania willdenowi (blunt-snouted clingfish). RNAcentral describes it as "lncRNA (ENSGWIG00000021806.1)". Lineage: Eukaryota; Metazoa; Chordata; Actinopteri; Blenniiformes; Gobiesocidae. The record is from RNAcentral.